CCAGCACCCCGAGUUGUCGGGACGAUUAUUGGGCCUAAAGCAUCCGUGGCCUGUUCUGCAAGUCCUCCGUUAAAUCCACCCGCUUAACGGAUGGGCUGCGGGGGAUACUGCAGAGCUAGGAGGCGGGAGAGGCAAACGGUACUCAGUGGGUAGGGGUAAAAUCCAUUGAUCUACUGAAGACCACCAGUGGCGAAGGCGGUUUGCCAGAACGCGCUCGACGGUGAGGGAUGAAAGCUGGGGGAGCAAACCGGAUUAGAUACCCGGGUAGUCCCAGCUGUAAACGAUGCAGACUCGGUGAUGGGUUGGCCUCGAGCCAACCCAGUGCCGCAGGGAAGCCGUUAAGUCUGCCGCCUGGGGAGUACGGUCGCAAGACUG
RNAcentral lists this ribosomal RNA (375 nucleotides) under uncultured organism. RNAcentral's name for it is "bacterial SSU rRNA". It matches the Rfam family "Archaeal small subunit ribosomal RNA", at positions 476 to 851 of the family's 1478-position model. The record is from RNAcentral.